GGUGGCUCAGUGGUAGAGUGAUUGACUUGCACCCAUUAGGCUCUGGGUUCAAUUCCUCAGCACCA
RNAcentral lists this transfer RNA (65 nucleotides) under Dipodomys ordii (Ord's kangaroo rat). It matches the Rfam family "tRNA". From Rfam's summary of the family: Transfer RNA (tRNA) molecules are approximately 80 nucleotides in length. Their secondary structure includes four short double-helical elements and three loops (D, anti-codon, and T loops). Further hydrogen bonds mediate the characteristic L-shaped molecular structure. tRNAs have two regions of fundamental functional importance: the anti-codon, which is responsible for specific mRNA codon recognition, and the 3' end, to which the tRNAs corresponding amino acid is attached (by aminoacyl-tRNA synthetases). tRNAs cope with the degeneracy of the genetic code in two manners: having more than one tRNA (with a specific anti-codon) for a particular amino acid; and 'wobble' base-pairing, i.e. permitting non-standard base-pairing at the 3rd anti-codon position. Lineage: Eukaryota; Metazoa; Chordata; Mammalia; Rodentia; Heteromyidae. The record is from Rfam by way of RNAcentral.